Molecule: long non-coding RNA, 33062 nt
Filed under: Zea mays
Lineage: Eukaryota; Viridiplantae; Streptophyta; Magnoliopsida; Poales; Poaceae
Description: long non-coding RNA (ZMAY_LNC003089)
Source: RNAcentral
AAGCGGCUCUUCCCCACGGCGCCGUCGAAUCCCGUCUUCCUCUGCUCGCGCGGGCCGCGCCCCUGCUUCCCCUCCCUAGCCGAGCUCGCCGGUUCCCUUUCCCCAAGCUCCACGGCUGGCCGCGCCCAGUGUCCUCCUCUCAGCUCCCCACGCGCACCGGCUUGCUCCCUGCUCGGUUCCGUGACCGCGCCGUGUGUCCAUCUCCUGUGCGCGCGUGCUCCCUCCCUGUUCCUCCAAACCAGUCGAGCUCCUCCCUGUGUCCGUACCGAGCUCCUUCCUUACGCCGGUCUGAAAUCUCUGGUGCUCGCCCAGUCUGGCGCGACAAACAGGGAAAGGGAAAGAAACAGCCGAGUUCCUCUGCGCGCAGCCACAUCUUCUCGCUCGGCCUGCUCCGGAUCCGAAGCUGGUCACCCUGUGUGCUCGACUUUGCCUUGUCGCAAAACCCCGACGCCGUCGAGCCUCGCUGCCCAUCGUGAAGUUCCCUGUUGUCAGCCUCCGCACCUGUCCUAGGUCGUCGUAGCCAGUUUGACUCCGUCCCGUGGUGGUGUUGCGUUGCCAUCGAGUCCCGAUAUCAAUCUGGUGGUCGUCGAAGUGAAGCUCUGAACGGAUUCGGCCACAUCCAGCACUACCCAUGUCGUUAUCGUUCGUCUUCGUGCUGUGAGCGACAACAUCGUCAUUUCCUUCAUGUGCUCAUCCUCGAUCUCCGUCUCACCAUCACCCUUAAUCACAGCACUGUGUCGACGACUUGCGAUCCUCACUCUCGUGCUCACGCUUCAUCGAAUGCCACUCCAGUACUCGUUAGAAGAAGAGCUUCAUCAGUUGAUUAUUGAAGAAAAGAAGAACCCUAGGUGACAUCUACUUAGUACUCGAUAGAAAGUCUAAAGUAGAAUUUAUCGUCGUGUCCAUGGAAGUGGAGCAACUUAAUAUUGGUAAGCGAACUCGUUACUUCGGAUAGUUGGAAUGGUAAUUUGAUUGGCUAGAUUUAUUAAUCGUAAUAAUCCUCGUGUUGGCACAGGCGCGUUGUGGUAGUGUUAAAUAUGUGUGAAAUACGAUGGAGUUAGUAAUGCGAAAGGUAGGUUAAAUUAUACGAUAUUCAGGCGAGCUGAUGACGUAAAAGAUAGGCUUAGUAUUCCUAUCAGCUAGUUGAUAGAUUUUCUAGUGUCAUUAUGUCAAUUUGGUUAAUUGAUAUAGUCGAUGCCCUGCUUAAUUAGUUAGUUUAUUCUAGGUUUGGUAUUUAGUUCGAUGUCAUGAGGGAUAUGCAAAUUACCUCGUGCAAUUAACAGUGAAUGGCAUCGACCUAUCUAAUUAGCGUGGAAUUCAAGAUAAUUGAGAAACACAAUUUAGAAAGUUAGUUAAUAUGCCCUCUUACUCUAAGUUGUCGGUAUUCGAAAAUAGUGAAUAAAAAUGUGACGAGUAAUUUGAUAUUGGGUGUUUUAACAAAAGACUUGUGCUUAGCUUAUUAUUACUUGAUGUUUGAAGUAGAUGCGAUUACGCUAGAAAAGUGUAAUAAUUGGGCGUAGUCGUAUAUCAGUAACUAGUGUUUCCGUAUAAAAUUGUACAACGCCUCGCCGCUAGGUGUUUAAUUCGCUAUCGCGUAGCACUAUUUAGGUUUGUAAUAUUCUUGUCUAUAUGCAUUCAUGUGCAUAAUGCAUUUCAUUCAGAUACGUUAAUUAAUCGCGUGAUGCGAAAGACGAGCCAAGUCGACCCCAAGCGCGGGCUAGUGAUGCUGAUGGACGAACCUGCCUGAACAAAUGUCAAGACAAAAGGAUGGUCGUCAAGUGGUCGCCACCUAACAAACACUAACAUAGUGUUUAUUCCAGGCAAGCCCCGGUGCAUGCAACCCCUUCCUUAUGUUUUAAAUAAUUUUUACACAAUUUAAGUCUAGCGAAAUGUGCAUUAGGUUUAUAAGAGUUGCUUGGAAACCCUUUGAUGCAUUGGCUACCUUGAAAUCCAUUCCUUCUAUAGAUACUUCUGGUGAAGUAUCAAAUAUGAUUUACAAAAUUGCUUAGCCUUGCCUAGAGGUAAAUCUUGCGGAUAGAGGUUGUCCUUUGCGUUAAUGCCUAACUGAGGGGUUAUCCUGAGGAAGGAUGGCUUCUGCCUGCAAGAAUAUUUUCAUUGGGAGCAGUGGUUGGAUCUUACUGCAAAGUUCCCUAUAAUGCUCUUUUCAUCCUAAGGAAUACAAACAAUCCUAAGGAUGGAAGUACUUAAAUCCAGACUUGGGCUUGGAACAGGUGAUGUUCUACCCAGGUUGAUUAAGGAUUAUACUGAAUGUAGGCUUGAUGAUCGAGGACCUUUUAACUGGUCACAUGCCUCAUCAUGGGUAAGCUUUGCCUCGGGCAGACUAAUACCAGAAUAAGACAACACACAAUGGGAGUGGAGAGAUGGCGAGAGUAGCGUGUACCCUCCGUGGCAAGAGGCUGAACGGUUGUGUAUCUGUGCUCUCGGUUGGCGUGAACCUAAUCUGGACUUAAGAACCCCGGUGGCGAGUUGACAUAUGCAAGGGUUAAGUGCUACAUAUGUCGUGUGAUUGGAGAUCCCCAACUGGGUAUUAAUCGAUUCAGAUCGCCGUUACUUCUCGGACAUGAAGACUUGGUCACUGCCCUGCAAUCUAAGUCAUGGAUGGAAUCUUAAUGAGCAAAAAUCAUGUUGGAUUGAAUAAUGUGAUGGUGAAAUUAGACUAGAUGCAAACAAGGUAUAUUAAUACUUAAUCUAGCAUUAAAAUGUUGGAAGUAAGGACUCACUUUAGUAAGCUAUUUCUGCAAAAGUAUCUAAGUUGACUUGUUAAAGCCUUUUCCUUGAUUCCUAUUUAACCAGCAUAUCCUUGAGAGUCUUUUCUUUAGUCGGGUAAGUCUUGCUGGGUAUUUGCGUACUUAGGGUUUUACCCAUUGUUGCUGUAGGUUACGAGUCACUUUGAUUGUGAUUGGUGUUAAGCGCUGGUGGGCACGACCUUCUUAUAAGUCUAAGUACUUCUUCUAUACUUCUUAUUGAGGAUUGUCACUUAAGCUAGCAUAUAUUUCAAACUUAUAAACAAUUUAUAAUAAUUCAAAGUUAUUUCUUUGAAUCAAUUUUGUAAUCACUCCGAUCAUGUACAUUGUAAAACUUGAUGUAACAUGUAAAAUUUGGUAAAAAGAUUUCCGCUGCAAAAUUGUUGGUGUGUGAUUUGUGUUUACUUAAUCCCACGGUUCUGGUUAUAAGUGGUUUAUCCGGGGUCCUUGGGACACUCGGACGGAUCCUGUUAAGUUAUCUGGUGCACAUGCACAGCCGUCUGAGGUCUUCGAGACAAGGACAGGUGCAUGUGGGCCCAAUAACUUGGAAGGUUCUGCCAGAGCUGGUAUCAGAGCAGGAUUAAGUAUAUACGGUCACAUACGUAUUUUCAAAACAAAAGUUUGGUUUCGAAAAACCUAUUUUCAACUAAACACAUUGUUUGUCUUUGAAAAACAGUUUUGAAAAACUAUAAUGCUAGUGACAUCCUCUGUUAAGCCCUAAAUUAAGGACUAUUAGGUGGCUUAUUUAAAAACCACUAACCCACAACCGGGGGUAUUGCAUACAUGUGUAUUGUUAUUUGUGAGGCCAUUCAGUUUUGAAUGGAUCAACGCUCAGGUAAGGCGAGAUGUGAGAGCAUGACCGAACAAAAGUCGGUCUAGGGAAGAGUAUAAAAAGUGCUUGACUAUAUACAUGUUUUACAUAUGUAUAUAUGAAGGCUACGAUGUGGAGUAUUUACUUUUCUGGGAUCCAGUACCCCAUGGAUGUGUAUGGGUAUACAGACAUGGGAAUACUGAGAAGUGUAAUGUACUUGCAACGACGCACCUACGCUCAGGUAAGAAGGUGAGUUACCAUAAUGAGUUGCCCUAUGGUUAAAGUGUGGCAACGGCGCCUAUGCGUGGCUCGGCGCUUAAUGAUGAGCUGGCCUCCAUAUAGCAAUAUAUGGAGUAUAAACUGUGAUAAACUGUCAUGUGUGGAUCUUGCAUCAUGGGAAAUUGGGUUGUGAUGGAAUUUUUUGCAGGUACACUAACCUCGAAAACGUAUGUGUAGCUGACGACUAGCAAAAUACCGUGAGAGUCGUAAGUAUGCCACCGAGAUAGAACAGUACUGCCACAUUAGAUUGGCACAAAUUCGUGAGGACGUAUAGGACGAGCAUGCAUCCUGAUUGUUGCAUUAUGUUUGUCACCUAUACACCCAAAAUGCUUUUCUCAUCUUUAUUCCAGUAGCCGAUGAUUCUAAAUGAUGUGGGUAUUAGAGUUACUUGUUUAGAUGGCUUCCAGCUUUUCUUAAUUUGACCAUUAGUGCAAAAUGUGUUUGCUCUUAUGCUUGAUGUGGCGAUAGAAUGUUUGUGAGUUGUUUGCCUAAACCCAAAAUUAGGCCAUGUUCUUAUUUAGUGAACCAUGACCCAAAUUUGAAUUAUCCGUUAUCACUCCAUGACCAAACACAUACAAAUAAAUGCUUAGAUAAUUUCUUUGCUGGAAAUAAAGUGUACUCAGGCUUAAAACAAGAAUCUCGAGUCAUAUUUCCUUCCAAAACCAUUCCCUUGUUCGGUUGGUGCAAUUUGAUAUCUCUAUUCUAUUUUGCUUCUCCUAGAGAAUUGCAUUGUUGCUUUAUGACCCAACCUAGGAAAGACAUGUCCGAUUAUUUUCUUGAGUUUGAUGCCUUUGGUUUCCUCAUAUUUAUCGAAGGCAUACCAACUUCAUCUUGCGAUUGUUUUCCCUCCGUGCUAAUCAAAUACUAAUCCUUGGCCUUGUAAUCGUUGCGAUGGGCAUAGAAAUAUGCUUGGGGCUGAAAUAACAGUCUCCCAUUGUACUCCUUCCUCAAUUUAUUUUUGGUUAUGGCCAUGCCUUGUUCAUUUCAUCGGGCCAUAAUCUAUUUGGCUCUCUACUUGUAACCAUUCUGACAGGUAGAGUCUCUUUGUAUAUUGUCCCCCCUGCUCAUUCUAUUGGUGUGGCGAGAUUUCUCAUUGGUUACGUCUGGUAAUGGUGUUAUGACUAAAAUUGAUGAUGUCGUGAUGAAACUGAGGGCCUCCUGUGAAUGUACACACAUGGUUGUGCUGCUCGGCACACGCUGGUAUCACAGUGGUAGUUGUCAUCCAUUAUGAGACUAUAUCAAUGUGUUUCUUGGCACAAUGUCUAGUUUUGCCACGUGAGAUUCAUUAUUGGUGCCAGUUUUGUAAUGGUGUCAUGGUUAAGGACUUAUGGUGCCGCCGCGAAACUGAGAGCCCCUUGUGAAUGUACACGCAAGGUUAUGCUGCUUGGCGCAUGCUGGUAUCAAGGUCUCUAGUCAUGAUCCAUUGUGGAACUACACUGAUGUGUUAUCUUCCGUGGACCUUCCCUUGAAACAGUUUCUAUGUUGUUUGUUAAGUGAUCAAGCAACAUCUAUCAUCUCUGUCAGAUCAAAAGGGCAUACCACUUUCAUGUGUGGUCUCUUUUCUUUUGAUCUUAGUAGUGACUGCACGUAUACAAGUUCCCUUUACGUCCUUUGUGUAAAGGUGAAGCCUUGGAGCAUUUUAGUUUUGGAGAGACAACUGAUUAGCUCUCAAAAUGGAGAUCUGUUUCCCCUGCUGUUGAAAUGUAGGAGUUUGUUCACUCGCUCCCUUAUUUAAUCCAUGUAUUCCCGAACCAAGUCAGUUCAUCUCGCAUGAAGAAACGGAUGGACAACCUAACCAAAUGGAUUUCUACCCAAAUACAUGAUCGCCUAUUAGCAAAUGUGAACUCUCAAUUCUUGGCUUACCGAUGGUGUCGGGUACCAUAAUUAGGGGUACCCCCAACACUCCUAAACUCAGCUAGUAAUCACCAUCAGCACAAGUUGCAGAGACUGAUGACAGCGUCAAAAAAGGUCAAGGCUCCGUCCGCUCAAGGGACGCGAUCUCGCCUCGCUCGAGCCCAGCCUCGGGCAGGAAUAGUAGACCCAGGAGAAUUCACGCCUCGCCCGAGGGCCUCCUCAAGCAACGGGCGCACCCUCGACUCGCCCGAGGCCCAGCUCGGGCAGGCUUCGCAGUGAAGCAACCUUGUCCAGAUCGCCUCGCCAACCGACCGUAUCGCAGGAGCAUUCAAUGCGAGGAUCGCCUGACACCUUAUCCUGACGCACGUUCCUCAGUCGACAGGGCCGAAGUGACCGCAGUCACUUCGCCCCUCCACUGACUGACCUGACAGGAAAACAGCGCCGCCUGCCCCGCUCCAACUGCUGUGCCACCCGCUAGGGCAGGGCUGACAAUAGCUAAGUCCAGCCUCAAGCGCAACAGGAAGCUCCGCCUCGCCCGACCCCAGGGCUCGGCCUCAACCCCGGCCUCGGAAGACGGUCUCUGCCUCACCCGACCUCAGGGCUCGGCCUCAACCUCGACCUCGGAAGACAGUCUCUGCCUGGCCCGACCCCAGGGCUCGACCUCGGCCCUGACCUCAGAAGGAAUCGCGCCCUCAACCGACCCCGGCCUCGACCUCAGGAGGAGUCACCGCCUCACCCGACCUUGGGCUCAAACCGACCACGCCACAGGGGGGAUACAUCAUUACCCUACCCCUAGCUAGCUCAGGCUACGAGGAACAAGACAGGCGUCCCAUCUGGCUCGCCCCGGUAAACAAGUAAUGAUGGCACCCCGCGUGCUCCCAAGACAACGGCGGUUCUCAGCCCCGUACGGAAGCAAGGAGACGUCAGCAAGGUCCCGGUAGCCCCGACAGCUGUGCUUCUAUAGGGCUCAAGCGCUCCUUCGACGGCCAUGACAUGGCAUGCACAGGGCUCUAGCACCUCUCCAACAGCCACGUUGGCAUGUACAUAGGGCUCUGGCUCCUCUCUACCGGACACGUUAGCGUAUUGCUACACCCCCAUUGUACACCUGGACCCUCUCCUUGCAUCUAUAAAAGGAAGGUCCAGGGCCCUCAUACGAGUGGGUGGUCACGCGGGAGGACGGGCUGACGAACAGGCUCUCUCUCUCUCUCCCUCGCGAACGCUUGUAACCCCCUACUGCAAGCGCAUCCGCCCUGGGCGCAGGAUAACAUGAGCCGCGGUUCUCUCCCCCCCUUGUGUUCCAUCUCGCGCCGACCCAUCUGGGCUGGGACACGCAGCGACAAUUUUACUCGUCGGUCCAGGGACCCCCCGGGGUCGAAACACCGACAGUUGGCGCGCCAGGUAGGGGCCUGCUACGUGUUGACGAACAACUUCCCGUCAAGCUCCAGAUGGGUAGUCUCCAACAACCUCUCCAGCCCGGGACGCUGCUCCGUUUUAGGAGUCUUGAGUUCAUGUCCCUCGACGACAGCUACGACAUGGUACUCCUUCCUCCGCAGCACGACGGCAACAACGGCGGCCGUCAGCCCGCCCGGCGGCGGCGGACUCGACGACGUCUUCCUCCCGUGGCGGAAGAGCAACAUCCGGGUCUGUCCCGCCACCUUCCUCGCCGCAGGAGGAGGAGGCGGGGCAACUGUGGCCAAGCAGGAGGCAGCACCUCGUCGGCACCCCGGUGGGGGACAUGUCAGGCGUUGACCUCGCACCCGAGACGACGGCGAGUGUCGUUUCCCCGCAACGCGCCAACCCCAAGCGGACAGAUGACGCCAGCACCCUUGCGGAGGACUUGCUGGGCGUUAGCCUCGUACCUGAGAUAACGGUACAGUCCGUCCCCUAUGCGACUUCGUCACCAUCCGUCGAUCAAGAGGUACCGUCCGUUUUUCACCCUGUGCCUUUUAGAUUCAGCUUCGAUCCACUAAGCGACCCCGCUUCGGUGGAUGCUUUCAUAAAGGCAUACCCCAACCUUCUGGGGUACCAUAUGUGGUCAUCCUGGGACCGACUGACGGCCGUCUCGACCUAUGGGCCCCUGGGUUCCGAGGAAGAUGACGAGCCCGACUCUGGUUGGGAUUUCUCCGGGCUCCGUGCUCUCAGUGCCAUGCGAGACUUCAUGACCGCAUGUGACUACUGCCUCUCCAAUUGCUCCGAUGAUGGCCACGGCCUUGACAACGAGGACUGUGGCCCAAGUCGCGAAUGUUUCCACGUCGAUCUAGGGGGUCUCGACGAAGGCAACCACCUUGGUAUGCUGGAGGACAACAAUCCCCCUAGGCCUGCGCCUCGCGUUGACAUCCUGCGGGAGCUAGCUGUGGUCCCAGUCCCUGUGGGGGGUCAGGACACACAGCUUGAGCACACCCGUGAGAUGCAGGCCAAGCUCGACGAGGAAGCAGGACAACUUGUGCAGCUCCGGCAAAACAUCGGGCAGGAGUGGGCAAGCCGAGCAUUAGCCGGAGAAGCGCGUCAUCAGGCCCAGGAUGUCCAGCGCCGUAUCGCUAACGAUGCCAGGGCAAGGCUGCCCCCGGCUUCCAGUGGGGUCGGCCAGAACCUGGCUGCAGCGGCAAUUCUACUCCGAGCGAUGCCAAAGCCAUCCACCACCGAGGGGCGGCGUAUCCAGGGAGAACUCAAGAAUCUCCUGGAGGAGGUCGCGGUCCGACAGGCCGAAAGCUCUACCUCCCAAAGGCAAGGGUACCCCCGGAGCAUCGCGCCGCGACUUCUCGAUUCAUGCGGGAAGCCUCGGUCCACUCCGGGCGCACGUGGGACGCAACGCCUGCAACCCCGGGUCGCCUCGGCAACGAGCACCACCGCCGCGACCAUCGAGCCCGCCUCGAUGAGAAGGUGCGCCGAGGCUACCACCCCAAGCGUGGGGGACGCUACGAUAGCGGGGAGGAUCAGAGCCCCUCGCCCGAACCACCCAGUCCGCAAGCUUUCAGCCGGGCCAUAUGACGGGCACCGUUCCCGACCCGGUUCCGAGCCCCGACUACCAUCACUAAGUACUCGGGGGAAACGAGGCCGGAACUGUGGCUUGCGGACUACCGGCUGGCCUGCCAACUGGGUGGAACGGACGAUGACAACCUCAUCAUCUGCAACCUCCCCCUGUUCCUCUCUGACGCCGCCCGAGCCUGGCUAGAGCAUCUACCUCCUGCGCAGAUCUCCAACUGGGACGACCUGGUCAAGGCCUUCGCCGGAAACUUCAAGGGCACAUACGUGCGCCCUGGGAACCCUUGGGAUCUCCGAAGCUGCCGCCAGCAGCCAGGAGAAUCCCUGCAAGACUACAUCCGGUGAUUUUCGAAGCAGCGCACCGAGCUGCCCAACAUCACCGACUCAGAUGUCAUCGGGGCGUUCCUCGCCGGUGCCACUUGCCGCGACCUGGUGAGCAAGCUGGGUCGCAAGACUCCCACCAAGGCGAGCGAGUUGAUGGACAUCGCCACCAAGUUCGCCUCUGGUCAGGAGGCGGUCGAAGCCAUCUUCCGUAAGGACAAGCAGCCUCAGGGACGCCAGCAGGAAGACGUUCCCGAGGCGUCCGCCCAGAGCGGCACAAAGAAGAAGGCCAAGAAGAAGUCGCAAGUGAAACGCGACGCCGCCGACGCAGAUCUUGUCACCGCCGUCGAGCACAGGAACCCUCAGAAGCCUCCCGGAGGGGCCAACCUAUUCGACAAGAUGCUCAAGGAGUCGUGUCCCUAUCACCAGGGUCCCGUCAAGCACACCCUUGAGGAAUGCGUCAUGUUUCGGCGCUACUUCCAUAAGGCUGGGCCCCCGGCGGAAGAUGGCAAAGGCCGAGACAACGACAAGAAGGAGGGCAACAAGGCAGAAGAGUUCCCCGAGGUCCACGACUGUUUCAUGAUCUACAGUGGGCAAGUGGCGAACGCCUCGGCUCAGCACCGCAAGCAGGAGCGCCGGGAGGUCUGCUCGGUGAAGGUGGCGGCGCCAGUCUACCUAGACUGGUCCGACAAGCCCAUCACCUUCAACCAAGGCGACCACCCCGACCGCAUGUCGAGCCUAGGAAAGUACCCGCUCGUCGUCGACCCCGUCAUUAGCAACGUCAGGCUCACCAAGGUCCUCAUGGACGGAGGCAGCAGCCUCAACAUCAUCUACGCCAAGACCCUCGGGCUCUUGCAAAUCGAUCUAUCCAUGAUCCGGGCUGGUGCGGCGCCUUUUCACGGGAUCAUCCCCGGGAAGCGCGUCCAGCCCCUUGGACAACUCGAUCUGCCCGUCUGCUUCGGGACUCCCUCCAACUUCCGAAAGGAAACCCUCACAUUCGAGGUGGUCGGAUUCCGAGGAACCUACCAUGCAGUGCUGGGGAGACCAUGCUACGCCAAGUUCAUGGCCGUCCCUAACUACACCUACCUCAAGCUCAAAAUGUCGGGCCCCAACAGGGUCAUCACCGUCGGAUCCACGUACCGACACGCGUACGAAUGCGACGUGGAGUGCGUGGAGUACGCUGAGGCCCUCGCCGAAUCCGAGGCCCUCAUCGCCGACCUGGAGUGCCUCUCCAAGGAGGUGCCUGAUGCGAAGCGCCACGCCGGCAACUUCAAACCAGCGGAGGCAGUUAAGUCCGUCCCCCUCGACCCCAGCAACGACGCCUGCAAGCAAGUCCAGAUCGGCUCCGAGCUUGACCCCAAAUAGGAAGCAGUGCUCAUCGACUUUCUCCGCGUGAACGCCGAGGUGUUUGCAUGGAGUCCCUCGGACAUGCCCAGCAUACCGAGGGAUGUCGCUGAGCACUCGCUGGAUAUCCGAGCUGGAGCCCGACCCGUGAAGCAGCCUCUGCGCCGAUUCGACGAAGAAAAGCGCAGAGCCAUAGGCGAGGAGAUCCACAAGCUGAUGGCUGCAGGGUUCAUCAAAGAGGUAUUCCAUCCCGAAUGGCUAGCCAACCCUGUGCUUGUGAAAAAGAAAGGAGGGAAAUGGAGGAUGUGUGUAGACUACACUGGUCUAAACAAAGCAUGUCCGAAGGUUCCCUAUCCUCUGCCUCGCAUCGAUCAAAUCGUGGAUUCCACUGCUGGGUGCGAAACCCUGUCAUUCCUCGAUGCCUACUCGGGUUAUCACCAAAUCAAGAUGAAAGAGUCCGACCAGCUCGAGACUUCUUUCAUCACACCUUUUGGCAUGUACUGCUAUAUUACUAUGCCAUUUGGUUUAAGGAAUGCAGGUGCGACAUACCAAAGGUGCAUGAACCACGUGUUCGGAGAGCACAUCGCCCGAACGGUCGAGGCUUACGUCGAUGACAUCAUAGUCAAGACGAGGAAAGCCCCUGACCUCCUCUCUGACCUUGAAACGACAUUCAAGUGUCUGAAGGCGAAAGGCGUAAAACUCAAUCCCGAGAAGUGUGUCUUCGGAGUCCCCUGAGGCAUGCUCCUGGGUUCAUCGUCUCCGAGCGGGGCAUCGAGGCCAACCCGGAGAAAAUCGCGGCCAUCACCAACAUGGGGCCUAUCAAAGACUUAAAAGGAGUACAGAGGGUCAUGGGAUGCCUUGCGGCUCUGAGCCGCUUCAUCUCGCGCCUCCGCGAAAGAGGCCUACCUUUGUACCGCCUCUUAAGGAAGACCGAGCGCUUCGCUUGGACCCCCGAGGCCGAGGAAGCCCUCGGAAACUUAAAGGCGCUCCUUACAAGCGCGCCCGUCUUGGUGCCCCCCGCUGCGGGAGAAGCCCUCUUGAUCUACGUAGCCGCAACCACUCAGGUGGUCAGCGCCGCGAUCGUGGUCGAGAGACGAGAAGAAGGGCAUGCAUUGCUCGUCCAGAGGCCGGUCUACUUCAUCAGUGAAGUGCUAUUCGAGACCAAGAUCCGCUACCCGCAAAUCCAGAAGCUACUGUACGCGGUAAUUCUGACGCGACAAAAGUUGCGUCACUACUUCGAGUCUCAUCCGGUGACUGUGGUGUCAUCCUUCCCCCUGGGGGAGAUCAUCCAGUACCGAGAGGCCUCGGGUAGGAUUGCAAAGUGGGCGGUGGAGAUCAUGGGCGAGACAAUCUCGUUCGCUCCUCGGAAGGCCAUCAAGUCCCAAGUCUUGGCGGACUUCGUGGCUAAAUGGGUCGACACCCAGCUACCAACAGCUUCGAUCCAACCGGAACUCUGGACCAUGUAUUUCGAUGGGUCGCUGAUAAAAACAGGAGCGGGUGUGGGCCUGCUCUUCAUCUCACCCCUCGGAAAGCACCUCCACUACGUGUUGCGCCUCCAUUUCCCGGUGUCAAACAACGUGGCCGAGUACGAGGCUCUAGUUAACGGGUUGCGCAUCGCCAUCGAGCUAGGGGUUCGGCGCCUCGACGCUCGUGGCGACUCGCAGCUUGUCAUCGACCAAGUCAUGAAGAACUCCCACUGCCUCGGCCCGAAGAUGGAGGCCUACUGCGACGAGGUUCGGCGCCUGGAAGACAAGCUCUACGGGCUCGAGCUCAACCACGUCGCUCGAUGGUACAACAAGACUGCGGAUGAGCUGGCUAAAAUAGCCUCGAGGCGGACAACGGUUCCCCCGGACGUCUUCUCCCGAGACCUACAUCAACCCUCCGUCUAGACCGACGACACGCCCGAGCCUGAGGAAGCCUCGGCCCAGCCCGAGGCACCCUCGGCCGCCGAGGGUGAGACACUGCGCGUCGAGGAAGAGCGGAAUGGGGUCACGCCUAAUCGAAACUGGCAGACCCCAUACCUGCAAUAUCUCCACCGAGGAGAGCUACACCUCGACAAAGCCAAAGCUCGGCGACUGGCGCGGCGCGCUAAGUCGUUCGUCUUACUGGGUGACGAAAAGGAGCUCUACCACCGCAGCCCCUCAGGCAUCCUUCAACGAUGCAUAUCCAUCGCCGAAGGUCAGGAGCUAUUGCAAGAGAUACACUCGGGGGCUUGCGGUCACCACGCAGCACCUCGAGCCCUUGUGGAAACGCCUUCCGACAAGGUUUCUACUGGCCGACCGUGGUGGCUGACGCCACUAGGAUUUUACGCUCCUGCCAAGGGUGUCAAUUCUACGCAAGGCAGACGCACCUGCCCGCUCAGGCCCUGCAGACGAUACCCAUCACCUGGCCGUUUGCGGUGUGGGGUCUGGACCUCGUCGGUCCCUUGCAGAAGGCACCCGGGGGCUUCACGCACCUGCUGGUCGCUAUCGACAAAUUCUCCAAAUGGAUCGAGGUCCGACCCCUAAACAGAAUCAGGUCCGAGCAGGCGGUGGCGUUCUUCACCAACAUCAUCCAUCGCUUUGGGGUCCCGAACUCCAUCAUCACCGACAAUGGCACCCAGUUCACUGGCAGGAAGUUCCUGGACUUCUGCGAGGACCACCACAUCCGUGUGGACUGGGCCGUCGUAGCCCACCCCAUGACGAAUGGGCAGGUAGAGCGUGCCAACUGUAUGCUUUUGCAGGGACUAAAACCGAGGAUCUACAACGACCUCAACAAGUUCGGCAAGCGAUGGAUGAAGGAACUACCCUCGGUGGUCUGGAGUCUGAGGACGACACCAAGCCGAGCCUUGGGCUUCUCGCCGUUCUUUCUAGUAUAUGUGGCCGAGGCUAUCUUGCCCACAGACUUAGAAUACGGUUCCCAGAGGACGAGGGCGUACGACGACCAAAGCAACCAGACCAGCCGAGAAGACUCACUGGACCAGCUGGAAGAGGCUUAGGACAUGGCCUUACUACACUCGGCACGGUAUCAGCAGUCUCUGCGACGCUACCACGCCCGAGGAAUUCGGCCCCGAGACCUCCAGGUGAGAGACUUGGUACUUCGGUUGCGGCAAGACGCCCGAGGGCGCCACAAGCUCACUCCUCCCUGGGAAGGGCCGUUCAUCAUCGCUAAUAUUUUGAAGCCCGGAACAUACAAGCUGGCCAAUAGUCAAGGCGAGGUCUACAACAACGCUUGGAACAUCCGACAGCUACGUUGCUUUUACCCUUAAGAUGUUUUCAAGUCGUUCAUAUACCUCGUUCUCUUUACAUACACAAAUAGAGUCUGACCGUCAAGGAAGGGUUAGCCUUGCCUCGGCAAAGCCCGACCCUCCCUCGGGGUCUAGAAAGGGGGGAACCCCCUCUGCGUCAAAAUUUUCCUCGGAAAAGUUUUCUACCAAAACGACUUUCGUGUUUCCCGACUAUAUCGACAACAGAAUCCCGCAAAACGAAUAAGAGCGCAUGUAAGCGGCAAGGCCGACCGAGCCGAGGGACUCCUACGCCUCCGGGAUACAGAUACCUCACUCGUCACCUUCUGCGAAAAAUAACUCUUACUUGGAUAAGCGAUUCUGCUACUGACGAACAAGUCCGGAUACUCGAAACAAGAGGAAAAGAAACGCAGCUGUUGGGGACUUGUUCUCAAAUGCUAAGAGUUAAGAACAAGGCAACAUGAAAAGUGUUAAAUGUUAAAGUCCUUCGUCCUUCGAGACAUUAUUUCCCUUCGGAUAUAAUGAAUUUCGGAUGAAGGUUGUGAAGGAAAAACCUUCGUGAGCACAAUAAAUGAUGAGGAAGAAUUCAUAUACGAAAUACGAAAAAUAAUAUAAACAUUAUCAUCAACUUAUUUUUAUUUGCAUUACCAUAUCCACAAUAACAAAUUAUAGAUAUACCUUUGGUUUGACGGAAAGUAAGGGUACAGGCGUGAUGCAAAAAGCGAAUGCCAAGUCAGCGUGAACAGUACGGGAGUAUUGUUCAUCUAUUUAUAGGCAAGGGACGCAGCCCAUGUAAAAUUACAUUCAUGCCCUUUACAUUUGCUAAUAACUCUAUAGUAAUUCUUCGAGGUCUAAUUUGCCUUUUCAUCUUUAAGUCGGUUCCCCUUUUCUACUGUUAUGCCGAAGCUUUCCUGCGCACAGCUUCAUGAUCACCUUGUCCUUCGUCAUAAUCAUCUUUCGUCUCGCUCAGGCUUCGUCCUGACCAUGCUCUCUAUGCUCAUGAUCCGAAACCGAAGAUACUUGUUCACAUAUUUCACUUGGAAAACAUUGUCAAAUCAUGUUUUUGAGGACCUUCGGAAGCCGAAGGCCCCCAACAGUAGCCCCUCGCAAUAUUAAUUUGCUAGAAUAAUAAAUUCAGAUUGCGAUAUGGACGAAGGCCUUAAGCCGAAGGUCCGAAAAAACACCUUCCCUUUGCUAGAAUAGCAAUAGUCAAUGACAAGUGGGACCCUGCCACUUGCGACGUGCUGGGCGUAUAAAUAAGGACGCACCGCAAGCACAUUUAGCACACUUUCUUGCCGUCGGCUCUUGCCUUCCUAAUUUUUAGCUCUUUGCACACCAACGCUUGCCUGGCUUUUAAAUUUUUAAGCUUCGUCUUUGAGAGCACUUUCUUAGCAUUUUCGAAGAUGUCUGAAGACAAGAAGUUGUCGCUGAGACGAAGCUAAGCCUUUCCGAAGAAAUGAAUCUCGGCUUCCUUGAAUCAAUAGCAAAAACAAACACAGAGAAGAUUACUAAGGAGAUUUUAGAGGGCCUAUCUGAAGACACUGGUGACAGCGACAACUAUGAUGUGGAAAGUGGUGGUGAAGAUUUCGAAGAUCGACCUUGGCGACCAAGCCAUGUAGUUUUUGGGAAAUCAAGCAUUAAACAAAGUCAUCUUGUCAAUAUGAGGGGUAGACAUUUUCGGGAUUUAUCUAUUGUGAGGGCUGACGAAGGGGAGAAAACUUGUCCGACUCCCGAGGAGAAUGAAGUCGUGAUAUUCCGAAGCUUCCUUAAGGCUGGACUUCAGUUUCCUUUGAGCACUUUCGUCGUGGAAGUUUUGAAGAUAUUCGAAAUCUGCCUCCAUCAAAUUACCCCCGAAGCAAUCAUAAGGAUGGGCAUCUUCGUAUGGGCUGUGAAGAGCCAAGGUUUGGAGCCAAAUGCCAAAAGUUUCUGUAGCAUGCAUGAGUUAUUAUAUGAGACAAAACCCUGGGGUAAAGAGCAAUACCAUAACAAUUUUGGCUGCUACAGCUUCGGUGCCCGCUCUGGGUCAAGCUGUCCCGUGCCAACUUUUCGGAAGAGAUGGCCUGGGGACUGGAUGAAGGAAUGGUUCUAUGUGAAGAACGACUUGAAGGCGCGAGAAGAUAUUAAAGAUAUCAUUAUGCGCCCUAUCUGGCAGCGCUUCGGCCUUCGGAAACCGAAGGUGGAAAUUGACGAAGCAGCCGAAGAAUGCCGGAGAGCCUUCGGUGUAGUUUGUUCUUUCAUCGGGACGAGGGAUUUGAUCCAGGAGCAUAUUGUCUUCAGAGUAUGGCCACUUGCGGAAAAGUGGGAAAUGCCAAAGGAAACCGGUGGACUAGUUAGGUUAAAAUUCACCUUCAAAUAUGGAGAUAAGUUCGUCGAGCUAGAUGAUGACUGGCUGAAAAGUAUUGAGGCCAUAAGUGAUGAGCUGCUUGGGCCAUACUCGAAGGCAGAAGAUACUGCACUGUCCACAGCCUUCGGAGGCCGGAAGAAGAAAAGGCUGAACCGGGUAUUUGAUGCCAUUGGGUUCAUAUAUCCUGACUAUCGUUACCCAACGCGGGGUCAAAAAAGGAAAGAUACGGCCUCUGCGAAGGAGGUUGCUUCAGCCGCUCUUAGUGAGCCAGUGCCAAAGAGGAAGAAGAUAAAGGUUCUUACGCACCGGCCACGCUAUAUUGAAUCGGCCACAGUACCCGAGUUUGUCGGUGAAUCCUCUUCGGCCCCCGAAGCCAGGGAGCCGACUCCCCUGCCGAAUGUUGAAGAGUCGGUCAUAAUGCCGGAGAUAGAGAAAAUAGAAGAACUAAAGACUAAAGAAACAAGGACAUCUGAAAUUUUAAGUCCUUCAACAAAAGUUGAAGUACCAAAAAGCCAAAAGGGUCCAGCAUUGACCCCAAAAGGAAAAGGAUGGUUAAUGUACUGGAUGUAUUGGAGACAAUAAAGUCUUCAAGCACUACUCCAAAGAGAAUUGUCGAAACUCCCGAAGUGCAAAUCGAAGCCUUUGGUGCCGAAGCUUCAAAGCACCAAGCUAAGACUGAAGCUAGGCCUUCAGAGCCCGCCAAGGUGGAAUCCUUGGAAACCAAAGAAACAGAAACAACAGAACAAAUUUUAACUGAAGAAACUGGCACUGCCGCCCCCGAAGCAUUUUCCGAAGCUUCCAAUUAUAUUUUACAACAUGCUUCGGGGAAAGAGUUGAGUGAAAAAGAAAAGCAAGAGGCUCAGUUCUAUGUCCAAAAACUGAAAUAUCCAAAGGGGGCGUUGAUAUUCAACGGCAGCGGAGAAGAAGACUUCUUGUAUUGUCUCCCUGACAGCAAGGAGAUUUCUGUCUGUCGGGAGAUGAGCAAAAGCUUCGGAUUCCCAACACUAGAAGACGGGCUCUCAGUGUUGUCAAAGAACGAGCUGGCCUUAGCAUACAAUAGUUUAAAGGUGAAAAAAUGAGAUCUUUGUAUUAUUUCUUGAAACCAAAAAUUUUCAUUUGCUUAAACUUGUUAAGACACAUUUUUUUUCAGGGCCUUAUACUUAGCAAUGCCCUAAGGGCACAAAAAGAUGCCGAAGACGAAGGGUGUACCAUAGCCUUGGGCAACCUUCGUUCCGAAGUAAUUGAACUAAGGAACGAAGGCCUCGAAAAAGAUAAAAUAUUACACUCGUUAGUGAAUAAAAUAAAAGAAGACGAAGCUGCUUUCAAAGCUCAAGCUGAGGCUCAGAAGCGCGAAAUUGAGGAUCUUCGGAAAUAGCUAGUCAGAGCUAAAGAAGAGUGCACACUUGAAGAAACAAAACGAGAAAUUAGUGAACAAUGGGGCAAACAUUUAGAAAAAACGUUGAAGAGCUUCGGGCAUCCAAGAAAAAGUGCUAUGAAAAAUCUAUAGAAUGUGUUAAGAAAAUAAGAACCAGCUUCGCCAGCGUUGGCGCAUUCUCAAGUGAGGAGAACUUCAUAAGGGGUGACCCCGAAGGCCCAAUUGGAUGGAUCAGCCAUGAAGCUGAAGCUUUUGAAGAAAUUUUGAAUAGUCGUGGAGACAUAUGUGCCUUUUCGGGUGCCAGGGGGAUUACCACUAUUUUGGAGAGGAAAGGCUGUGACCAUGUGAAAUUCUUGGCACAAUCCGAAGCCGCCUUAUCCUAUGAAGAUAUAAAAGACCCCUCGGCCGAAGCGAGCCUGGUCGGUGGAAAAUUUUUCACCGACAUCUGGGACAAUGGUGGCCGGGAGAUGGCCCAAGAAAUUAUACGAAGAAGCGAGAAAGGUAUUCAUGACGCUAGAAAAGUAGCAGAGGCCGCUGAGAAAAGUGCGGAUCCCGAAGGGCAAAUAGGUAUUGACUAGUAGUUUUUGGCUUUUUGUUGUAAUUUUUUGAUUUCGAACCUGUUUACACUUUGUAACACAGCCGCACUUUCUCCUCCCUCAGAGCCUGCCGAGCCAUCGGUGGACCCCCACGUGAAGGGGACGACGAAAUUAGAAAAAUGGCCGAAGCUAUCAUGGAUAAAGUUGUUGAUCAGCUACUAAACGAAGCUGCAGAAGUAGUUCUAAGGGAAGAUUAGAUGUUAUUGAAAAAACAUUUAGAAUGUAAUGUUUGCUGAGGAACAUGUGUAAUAUUUUGUAACUUUGAAUGUAAUAUAUAAGCUAUUUAUGGUUCUAUUCUUUACGAUGCAUGAAACUUCACAUACAUACCGUUUUUGAGCCUUCGGCAAAAAAACACCUUCCCUUCUUUUCAUGCUUUGUAAAUAAUAUCCGCGUUUUCAUAAAAUCAGUAACCAAUCCUCGUAACAUCAAUAACCAAUAGAUCUUUUCAUUUCAGAGUUUGACGAAGGUAUAGUUCUUCAAUAACUAUUAUUGUGCCCUAGCACUAUUUCUUCGAAACAAUCUUCGAAUAUCAACACUGAAACCCCCUUCUUGCGUCGUUGAUGCAACAUGAUGUAUGAUGUUAUGUUAUGCAAAUGAUGUGAUGAUGUGAUGUUAUGCAAAAUGAUAUUUGCCGAAGAUCGACAUUUUUUCACUGCAAGUCUCCCUUAGGAGCUUCUUCGCCUUUUACUUCAGCGGAAUCAGCGUUUAUUUUUCGCUGUAAGCCUCCCUUAGGAGCUUCUUCGCCUUUUACUUUCAGCGAAAUCAGCGUUUAUUUUUCGCUGUAAGUUCCCUUAGGAGCUUCUUCGCCUUUUACUUUCAGCGGAAUCAGCGUUUAUUUUUCGCUGUAAGCUCUGCAUUCCCUUCGCAACGACUUUUGAGCAGAAAACUUACGCUGCGCUCCCUUAGGAACGACUUUUUGUUAUUUCGAAGAUUCACAGUGUAACCAUAAAUUCUUAUGCUUCGGCAACUUUUUGGACUCCGUUAUUCCGUGGAGAAGGUAUACUUGUACUAUAGCAAAGUCGAAGCUAUUAAAAGAAAUUGAAAACGACAAAAAACACUUAGACUUUCAAUAAUUGUUCCUUAUUAAAAGAAAAUGAUAUUGAAUGCAAAAACUGCUGCCGAGGUAGGAUAUUUGUCAAUAAAUGUGCUUCGAUUCCGGCACAAUACUAUUGACUGUGCGAGCCUCGGACUCUUCUCUGAAGUCUCGUUGAUGUUGAGUAUGCUGACUCCCUUCUGGCUGCUGGCCUCGUUGCAUUGGUGGUGGAGGUGGAAGAUGUUGCCAAGAUGUCUGAGAUUGACUUUCCGAAGCAACAGAACCUGUAGGGUGGUUACCCACAUACUCUGGGAUAUAAGGCGAGUGGUACAAAGCAGUAUGCAUGACCUGCUUCGGUUGGGUCUGUUGGGCUGCAGCUUCUGCUACUUCUUUUUGUUUCUGGAUGGUGACAUGGCACAUCCUGGUGGUGUGGCCCUUGUCCUCACCACAGAAUAAGCAAUAAAUUUUCCUUGGCUGAUCCCCAAAUCUUCCUCCGAAGCCCCUGGCACCUCUGCCCCUUGGAGCUAGAGACCGAGGAUAAUUCUGCUGCUGCCCCGAAGCCUGGGAAGCCUGUGAGGAAUAUUGCGGCCUCUGCUGUUCGCUUCCCCUGUCAUCAUUCUAAGUGGAAUGAAUCGAUCUGACAUGUCUAGGAUGAAACCUCCCUCCAAAGCCCCUGGCUAUUUCGGAGAAUCUGUAAGCUUCCUCCCUUCUCUGUCGGAAGUCAUUGUCAGCGUGGAUGUAUUCAUCCAUCUUCUAAAGCAAUUUCUCCAGAGUCUGAGGGGGUUUCCUUGCAAAGUAUUGGGCUGAAGGUCCCGGCCGAAGCCCCUUAAUCGUGGCCUCAAUGAUAAUUUCAUUGGGCACUGUUGGCGCUUGUGCCCUCAGGCGUAAGAAUCUUCGGACAUACGCCUGAAGAUAUUCUUCGUGAUCUUGGGUGCACUGGAAUAAAGCUUGAGCAGUGACCGGCUUCGUUUGAAACCCUUGGAAACUGGUGAUCAGCAUAUCCUUCAGCUUCUGCCAUGAUGUGAUUGUUCCUGGCCGAAGGGAGGAGUACCAGGUUUGUGCAACAUUCUUGACAGCCAUGACAAAAGACUUCGCCAUGACUGCAGUAUUGCCACCAUAGGAAGAUAUUGUUGCUUCGUAGCUCAUCAGAAACUGCUUCGGAUCUGAGUGGCCGUCGUACAUGGGGAGUUGAGGUGGCUUGUAGGACGGAGGCCAAGGUGUAGCCUGCAGUUCUGCUGACAGAGGAGAAGCAUCAUCAAAAGCAAAAUUUCCAUGAUGGAAAUUCUCAUACCAGUCAUCUUCGUUGAAGAAGCCCUCCUGAUGAAGCUCUCUGUGUUGAGGCCUUCGGUUCUGCUCAUCUUGAGUAAGAUGGCGAACUUCUUCGGAGGCUUCGUCUAUCUACCUUUGCAGGUCAGCUAGCCUAGCCAUCUUUUCCUUCUUCCUUUGCACCUGCUGAUGAAGCAUCUCCAUAUCUCUGAUCUCUUGAUCCAAUUCGUCCUCCUGAGGCAUUGGACUGGUGGCCUUCCUCUUCUAGCUUCGGGCCUCCCGAAGAGAGAGGGUCUCCUGGUUGGGGUCCAGCGGUUGCAGAGCUGCAGCCCCUAUUGCUAAAGCUUUCUUUGGCGGCAUGACGAAGGUCUAUGCUUGCCGAAGGUGUUCGAAACUCAAAAAGUGGAAGUGAGUUCACCGGAGGUGGGCGCCAAUGUUGGGGACUUAUUCUCAAAUGCUAAGAGUUAAGAACAAGGCAACAUGAAAAGUGUUAAAUGUUAAAGUCCUUCGUCCUUCGAGACAUUAUUUCCCUUCGGAUAUAAUGAAUUCCGGACGAAGGUUGUGAAGGAAAAACCUUCGUGAGCACAAUAAAUGAUGAGGAAGAAUUCAUAUACGAAAUACGAAAAAUAAUAUAAACAUUAUCAUCAACUUAUUUUUAUUUGCAUUACCAUAUCCACAAUAACAAAUUAUAGAUGUACCUUCGGUUUGACAGAAAGUAAGGGUACAUGCGUGAUGCAAAAAGCGAAUGCCAAGUCAGCGUGAACAGUACGGGAGUACUGUUCAUCUAUUUAUAGGCAAGGGACGCAGCCCAUGAAAAAUUAUAUUCAUGCCCUUUACAUUUGCUAAUAACUCUAUAGUAAUUCUUCGAGGUCUAAUUUGCCUUUUCAUCUUUAAGUCGGUUCCCCUUUUCUACUGUUAUGCCGAAGCUUUCCUGCGCACAGCUUCGUGAUCACCUUGUCCUUCGUCAUAAUCAUCUUUCGUCUCGCUCAGGCUUCAUCCUAACCAUGCUCUGUAUGCUCAUGAUCCGAAACCGAAGAUACAUGUUCACAUAUUUCACUUGGAAAACAUUGUCAAAUCAUGUUUUUGAGGACCUUCGAAAGCCGAAGGCCCCCAACAUCAGCUUUAUAACACGACGACAAAGUGUUUAGGCCUCGGCGGCCGCAAAAAAACACAUGCAUGUUCCAAACAAACUGCCCCGACAGAAUCAAGCAUCGCCCGGGGGAGGAGCGGCACCGUCAGCACCGUCUCCACCCUCGGUGAGAUCCGCCCCGGCCUUGGACGGCGACGCAAGCGGAAGGAUCUCCACCUCGAAGGAGGACGCUAGCACCGCGCUUGGGCCCGCGACGGCCGCGUCAAGCCUCUGAACCUUGGCUAAGGCAGCUUCAUCUUCGUUGGGUAGAUAGUACCCCUCGCUGACUCGCUCCAGGUCCACGUCGUAGUGGGAAGCGAGCACGGCGAAGGCCCGCCUAACGUCGUGAUGCAGCGCCUCGCGGAGUCUGCUGCACACAUGGCUGCCCAAGGCCUGCAGGCGACUCUGGGGGGAACUUCCCGAGGGGACGUCGUCAAGACCAAAGACCUGGCAGAAGGCCGAGAUAGCUUCAGACAUGGCCACGCGGUCAGCCUCCUUCUGCUCAGCCGCCUGGGCAAGUGCCUUGGCGGACUCGUUGAGGGCUGACUCGAACUCUGCAAAUAGCCAAACAGAAUUCUUCAGACACGAGUUGAAGAAUGAAGUUGAAUCGAAGUCACAAAGCGGCCAAAACAUACCUUCAGCCCGGGCACGCUGCUCCGAGGCUGUGGCUUGGGCGGACUGGGCAGACCCGACGGCCACGGCCAGGUCCUCCGCAAGGGCUCCGGCCCGAGCAGACACCUCGGCUAGCUGGCCCCCAAGGGUCUCAGCCCGACUUUCAGCCUCGGCAGCCUGGUUCCGAGAUUGGUCCCGCUCGCCGAUGACCUGGCCAAGCUCCACCUGUCGCUGCUGCGCCUCUACGCGUGCCGCCGCUGCCUCCACCUCCAGCUCAUCACAGAGCAACCGAAGGUCCGCUACCUCGGCGCUCCAUUGGGCGAGGCAUUCAGUAGCCUCGAUAAGCACGACCCUCGGUGGCGUCCGCAGCCUCCGGUGGAGCGAAGCCUGGGGGAGGUUGCAGUUGUCCUCCGGAGCUACAGGUGCGGAGACUGCCUUCGGGUGUGGGUUGCUCAUUGCGCUGCCUCUUGCUGAAUGCGUCGUCUUCGUAGGUUUCUUGGUGGGUGGUGUCGACAAGGGCCUUGCCCUUUUUCUCAGCCAGCAGCGUUGCCUUCGCAGCUUCGUCAACGGAUGGGGCUGCCUUCGAGCUAGCUCUCUUGGGUGCCAUCGCAGGUGGUUUUUCGUAGCACGAACGGUGGGCGCCAAAUGUUGGAACUUGCUCUCCCAAGCAAGAUGAUCCAACGAGGGAGUGAAAGUAAUACAGACAAGGUUUUAGCUCAAGAGGGCAAUUGCACUGUUAAUCUAGCCUCUCAAGGGCACUGUGCAGGGGUAUUUAUAGGUACCUGAGUGCCCAGCGUCAUGGAUUAAGGACGCAUGUGCCCUCAGGCGCCUAGGUCAUCCCCGGAAUAUUCCCAUAAAGCAGGGUUACAAACUAUCAUUAUAGAAAAGCCUUUACAAACCGGGCCCGUAAUGCACAGCAGCCGCGGCGGGGCCCGUUACAAUGGACCGAAUUCUAUGUGGGCCUUCACGUUGGACGAGGCCGUGAGACGGAGCGACCUCGUCGUAGGCCUUCGUCUUGCAGCGUAUUAGACGAAGGGUGGAGACUGCUAGUCGUCUUGUCUCCGUUGGUGCGGCGAGAUUGGCGAAGGCAUCGAGCGAAGGGUAGCGUCUUCGCCUUCGCCCCAACAGCAGUGAACCCCAGACGUCGGCCUCGCGGCGGAUGAACAGCGACUUUGCGGUGCUCAGAUCCGUCAGAUCCUGAGGAAGGGAAGCAGGGUGUCACAAAGAAUGCCCUGGUCACGCGAAAGGUAUGCCUGAAAUCCUUACCUGGAGGAUCCUGGGAACGUCCCUGGAAAGGAUCUCCAUGGUCGACCGAAGCAACCCCAUCGCUGCCUCGGCAUACUCACGGAGCUCAUCCCGAGACUGCUCCUCCCGCUCAUCGUCAAGGACGAAGAAGGGUUUCGAGGUGCCGCGGGUCCAGAACCGGAGCGCCUGCCCACGCCGCUCAUUGGGAUUGCGCCGUGCGGGGAUGAGGUCGCCGCUCCCCAAGACGGGCCGCGGUUCUGCGCCCCCCUCCUCCAAGGCGUCGGGACCCCCUGUAGCCGACGCAUCGGGUACCCCCUCGGCCAAGGAGGCGGGCUUCCGAUCACCGACCUCGAGCAGCGGCACCUCAGCCAUCUCAGCAUCAGCGGCGACGGGUGGCUCCACGGGCAAAACAGCAACGGCCUCGGCAGGAGCUGGUGCCGGCGCCGACAACACGUCAGGUGGGCUCAAGGCCACGGCCGCGCCAGCAGCCUCCCCCGGCACGAUGGCCGCCUCGACGGAGGGGUCAGCCUGGGGAGCUUGCCCCAUGGCAACUCAUGCCGCCUGGGCCCCCUGCUUGAGGGCAUCUUGUGCGGAGGCCAGCCAACUGGCGUGGCACGGCACAGCACUGGCUGCAGAAGCUGGCAUCGUCUUAAGGGCCUUCCAAGGAGCCAGACCGGCCGAACCUUGCCUCCGUUUGCUAAGAGGAAAAGAUAAAGCGGGAUCAGGACACACGAAGAAGGAGCCAAAACAGUGGUAUCCUUAGAUACUUACCCGCUCCGGACCAAGGCCAAUCGUGCCUGCGGGGAGGCCCCUCGGGCCUCGAUCCCCACAGGCGCUGCCGAGGUUUGCCCCGCUGCAGGCUUCGGCACCGUUCCCGGGGCACCGAAGGGACAGUUCGCCUAGGCUCAGUCACAACGGCCUGAGGAUCAACCUCCUGUACGGUCGGCACGGGCGACUGCUCUUGGGGGACAGGCGGGUCGGCCUGACUCCCUGGGGUCACCUCAACUACCUCGGCCAAGGGGUCAAGUACCCGCUCGGCCUGCCCCCGCUCCUCGGACCAAGACCUAGAUGGCCCGGCCUCAGAUGCCGACGGCUCCAGCCCACUUGGAGGCUGGCUCGAUGAUCCCUGGCCCAGCCUCAGAACCGGGCUAAGGCCAAGGCAGGCCGCCAUGUCGUCCUCCUCGUCAUCAUCGUCAUCAUCAUCGUCGUCGUCGGGCGUCUCCGGCGACGGCUCCCUCGGGAGCCCGUCCCUCUCCUGCCUCCGACGGUGCCUCUCCAAGGCGUGCCGGGCCCGCAUCCGCUCGCGAGCCCGGGCCUUCUCCGCGUCCUUCUUCUCCUUCUUCUUCUCCGCGGCGACCCUCCGCGCGGCUCGGUCCACCGCGUCCUCCGGGACCGGUGGCAGGGAGGGCUUGAAAAACCCCAACUCCUGGAGACGAACGGAAAUCCCGACGGUAAGAAUCAAAGGCAACCCGGCACAAGGUAGAAGAAGGAGCGGACACUCACCAGGGACACGUACCCACACUCGGGACGCAUCACGGGCUGGGUAAGGGCGCCGGCAUCCAGCCUCCCUACCGUGCCCGCUACCCGUCUGCGGAGGUCGUCGGUGGAAAGGGGAACCGAGGACAUCUGCGAGCCCUCCAAAUCAACCCCUGGCUUCAUCUCCGUGAGCGGCAACAGCCGCUCUGCCAAAGGGAGCACCCUCCGGCGAUGGAUGGCGGCGACUACCCCCGCAGCGGUGAGUCCCCCAUCUCGCAAACUCUGCAAGGCCUCCAGAAGAGGCUGGAGAUUCUCUUGUUUCUCGCGCGUGGCCCCCCAACGCCAGUUGCUACCGGCGGCGGUCACCACUAGUUGGGAAAACGACGGAAGCCUUCUGUCGUCAUUCCGGAGGUAAAACCACCGGCGGUGCCACCCCUUGUUCGAAGACACAAGGAUGGCAGGGAUGUAUUGCUGCGCGCGCGCCUGCCUCAACUAGAGGGUGCAGCCACCGGCCCGCACCGCCAUGCGGACCUUCUUUUCCCCCAUCGUCAAGGCGAAAAGCUCCGCGGAGAAGAGAUGGGUCCAUAAAUCCCAGUGGGGGUCAACCCCCAGAAAACCCUCGCAAACCGCCGCGAAGAUGGCCGCUUGCGCAAUGGAGUUGGGGUUGAAGUUGUGCAGCUCCACCCCGUAAUAAUGCAGGAGCGCCCGCAUGAAACGACUUGCUAGCACUCCGAACCCCCGCUCGUGGAAGGAGACGAAACUAACCACAUACCCUGCUGGCGGAGUCGGGACGACCUCGCUCGCGGGGACCACCCACUCCGGCUGCGGGUCACCGGAGAGGGGACGAAGCAAGCCAUCGGCGACGAGGGCCUCUAGAUCAUCCACCGUGACGGUGGAGAGAGGCCACGGAUCGCGCGGCGAAACAACGGUCACCCUGUCGGCCAUCACCGAACGAAAGGGGUGGAGGCGGAAGGAACGAGGUGCACGGUUUUCUUUUCUCUGGCUAUUCUCUUAGGUUGCGGAAACCAAAGCAGAAGGCGAGCAGCAGAGUAAAGAACCACCGCCGGCCCCUCUUCCGAGUAUAUAAAGGCCCGGGCGAGAUCCGUUCAACACUUCGCCCGAACCUGCCGCGAAAUUCAAACUCGAAGGCGAAACGUCCGUUCCUCGAACGACUCACGCACGCGCAAUGGCCACCCCACGAAUCGUCCGUCCCGUCGCAUUAACUUUGCGGUAGAGCAAGCGACACCUUUGGCAGGUGAAGCGGGCGACAUUUCACCUCCGCCAUGAGGACCGCGUCAAAAAAGGUGCGCCACGCCGUUUAAAUUCAUAUCCUUUUCCUUCUCCCCUUUCUCUCUCUUUCUACAGGUACCGAGAAAGGGGAUACUUCGAAAGGGAUCCUUCUCCACGAAGGAAGCGGGCCCCAAGCCCUCCUACUGAUCAGGGGUUCGAAGGCUGGCCCCUCGGAAGGGUUCGACAGCCACCCCAGAGCACUCGGGCUUCAGGCUCAUUACUGAUCAGAGGUUCGAAGGCUGGCCCCUCGGAAGGGUUCAACAGCCGCCUCAGAGCACUCGGGCUCCGCGCCCACUAUUGAUCAGGGGUUCGAAGGCUGGCCCCUCGAAGGGUUCGACAGCUGCCCCAGAGCACGCAGAGCGAGGGAUGACUCUGGGUACGUCCGAUACAUGGCCGAGGCUCGGGCUACGCUCCCGAGGUACCCUAGGACAUUUCCGAGACCAGCAGGAAUAAUUUUGUAACGGAAUCCCACCAGAGGGAGGCAUCGAGCCCUCGGACCCAAUCGAACGGGACCGGGUCCGGCAAAUCACCUGCAGGUACUUUUGGAGCGCGCCUCUGGGCCACUAGCCGACCCUUAUCGAACGGGGCACGGGCAUCCGCUCGGAUUACCCGUUAGCAACUCACUGGAGACACCGUGUUCGGCGCCCCCCAGGGGCAACAUGGCGCUUUCCCCCCCUCCUCCUUGUGGAAAGGCGACGAAGGGGCGUAUGAUAAAAGCUGAGUCAGUCCUUGAUCGUCCUCUCGCUCCGUGCAGAGGCUCGGGGGCUGCUCUCGCAAACCUAGCUACGGCCAAACCGUUGACAGCGUCAACAGACCAGCCCGAGAACUCGGAACCCGACCAUGCACCCGGGCUACCAUCAAAUCGCAUGAGGGAACAACCAGACCGGCCAAGGCAUCGCAAAAAGCAUUAAGACCUCAGAGGAGUCAAACCACUCCUCCGAGGCCUCGGGGGCUACACCCGGCGGGUGCACUCGCGCGCACCCACCGAAACAAAAUGUAACCGAGAAAGGCUGGUCCCCUUGCAAAAAAGUGCGACAAAGCCUCCAAGCGAGUACCAACACUCCCUUUGAGGCUCGGAGGCUACUGUCGGGUACCGUAAUUAGGGGUACCCCCAACACUCCUAAACUCGGCUAGUAAUCACCAUCAGCACAAGUUGCAGAGACUGAUGACAACGUCAAAAAAGGUCAAGGCUCCAUCCGCUCAAGGGACGCGAUCUCGCCUCGCUCGAGCCCAGCCUCGGGCAGGAACAGUAGACCCAGGCGAAUUCACGCCUCGCCCGAGGGCCUCCUCAAGCAACGGGCGCACCCUCGACUCGCCCGAGGCCCAGCUCGGGCAGGCUUCGCAGUGAAGCAACCUUGGCCAGAUCGCCUCGCCAACCGACCGUAUUGCAGGAGCAUUCAAUGCGAGGAUCGCCUGACACCUUAUCCUGACGCACGUUCCUCAGUCGACAGGGCCGAAGUGACCGCAAUCACUUCGCCCCUCCACUGACUGACCUGACAGGAAAACAGCGCCGCCUGCCCCGCUCCGACUGCUGUGCCACCCGCCAGGGCAGGGCUGAGAACAAAUAAGUCCAGCCUCAGGCGCAACAGGAAGCUCCGCCUCGCCCGACCCCAGGGCUCGGCCUCAACCCCGGCCUCGGAAGACAGUCUCUGCCUCGCCCGACCCCAGGGCUUGGCCUCAACCUCGACCUCGGAAGACGAUCUCCGCCUCGCCCGACCCUAGGGCUCGACCUUGGCCCCGACCUCAGAAGGAAUCGCGUCCUCAACCAACCCCGGCCUCGGCCUCAGGAGGAGUCACCACCUCGCCCGACCUUGGGCUCGGACCGACCACGCCACAGGGGGGGUACAUCAUUACCCUACCCCUAGCUAGCUCAGGCUACGGGGAACAAGACCGGCGUCCCAUCUGGCUCGCCCCGGUAAACAAGUAAUGAUGGCACCCCGCGUGCUCCCAUGAUGACGGCGGUUCUCAUCCCCCUACGGAAGCAAGGAGACGUUAGCAAGGUCCCACCAGCCCCGACAGCUGUGCUUCUACAGGGCUCAAGCGCUCCUCCGACGGCCACGACAUCGCAUGCACAGGGCUCUAGCACCUCUCCAACAGCCACGUUGGCAUGUACAUAGGGCUCUGGCUCCUCUCUGCCGGACACGUUACCGUAUUGCUACACCCCCAUUGUACACCUGGACCCUCUCCUUGCAUCUAUAAAAGGAAGGUCCAGGGCCCUCAUACGAGUGGGUGGUCGCGCGGGAGGACGGGCUGACGAACAGGCUCUCUCUCUCUCCCUCGCGAACGCUUGUAACCCCCUACUGCAAGCGCAUCUGCCCUGGGCACAGGAUAACACGAGCCGCGGUUCUCUCCCCCCUUAUGUUCCAUCUCGCGCCGACCCAUCUGGGCUGGGACACGCAGCGACAAUUUUACUCGUCGGUUCAGGGACCCCCGGGGUCGAAACGCCGACAGAUGGAUAAUAAGAGGACUUACUCAAUGUCAAAAGUAGUUCAACAAGUUGGUUUUACUAACUUGUAACUGCCCAAUGAACAAAGGUUGAGUUUAGAGAUCGUUUUAUCGAGUUGUCUGAACUCACUUUGGUUCAACCCAUCCUAAGGAAGUGCUUGCAAGAAUUAAGUUAAGUUGGCCGGUAACCACCUAGUCAUCGCUCUAGUCGUGUCUCGAUCGCCUCACGUAUGGUUUUCUGACGUGUGUGAUCAGUUCGAGCCAUGAUUAGUGCUCGAUAAAAUGGAUUGGUUACGAAGGUAGCAUCUACAGAUCCCUCCGCUGGUGAUUUUCUCGAAUUUAUAUCACCUUUCAUAGACUUGGAUAACACGAGUUAACUGUGAUGUUAUUUGACAUUCACACCCAUCUCGUGUGCUAUGAAUUUCCCGUGACCACUUGUUGGUAAACCUCUUUCUGUGUGUUUUACCCAAGAGGUUGCAUCUGGUUUUGUUUGGGUAAAAUCGCGUAUUUACCGCUCGCUCAACAGACUCAGAUAGUACAGUGUUAUUAGAAAAAGCAAACUGCAUACAUGGAACCUUAUGUGUUCUUCUGGCAGACAUUGUCUGUACUAAUGAACAUCUUUAAAUUAGCCUAAGACGAUACAUGAUAUGUCCACUAGAGAAACCACAUUCUGAGACACUCGCCUUUGUUUGGAACUGUCUCAUUAUUAUCGCUGAUAUGGACAUGGGUUACAUGCUUCUCUACUCUUAAAAGUUUUCACUCCGAAUCUCGGGACAAGAUUCUUUUAAGGGAGGAGGGUUGUAAUACCCCUGGUGUUUAUAUUCCGCUCGACAACGAGUAUGUAUUUAAGCAUGUAAUAUCAGUGGAUAAAAUGGAUGCUAAAAUUUUAAUCAUUUCCGUCUAUCAUGAUUUUAAUAUCGCAUCUGUUUCGUUGUCGUGAGUUCGACACCGUUUUUAUUUAUCCGGGCUCUUCCUAAAUUUUCGUGAUGUUCGGAACAUAGCUGUUCCAAAAAUCGAUGAGUCCGAUUAUUAUUUAAAAUUUAUCGCUCACGCGAAUGCGAACUCGGAAGCCCGACCCACUCGGAUGAUUUUAUCCCGAACAGAUUAAGAACUCGACGACUAAGCUUUCAGUGUAAAAUAAUUUAAUCCCCUUCUGUCAACCAUGACAUCGCGUCUACAGAUUCUUGAUUGAAUUAUUCUCUAGUCGAGUGUUCGAGUAGCGAACGGAAAUCAUCUGAAGUCAACUGAAUCAAAUGCAGAUUAAAAUACAGAAGCCGAAAUCCGUUUAAUUUAGUCUGUUGCUUCUCGCUUCGGUCUAAAUCUUCAAAAAGUGAAUUAACAGUAUGAAUUCAUCCGACUUUAGAAUAUUUGCCAAAUCAAAUGCUGUCCAAUUGUUGCUGUCGAUCUCAUUUGUUCGACCCUUCUAUUUUAUAGACCCUUAUUUUAUAUCCUGAAAUAUCUAUAAAUUUCUUUAUAAAAAUAAGAGGAAGUAAAAGGAAAAUAUGAAAAUGUGAGAAAAAAAUCUGCUGCACGUCGGUACAGAUUUUUUUCAAGUCGUCGUUAUCUUCCUCCUGAUUUUCUCGCCACCGCACAGCUUCGUCGCUAUCCUUCUUCCCCUGAUAUUUUUGUACGGCGCCGCCCCUGGGCUCUUCAAAAAUGCAGCCGACGCUCAUAUUCUGGCCGAGUGCUCCUCCCACGCGCGCUCCUCUGUCUCCCAUGGCACGCGCGUGCCUCCUGGUCGGCUGCUGCUCCCUGCGCUCACCGUGGCUCCCUGCUGCAGCUCGCCCCCAGCUCACCACGCGGCUCCCAUGGCGUGCUCCUCUCUGCCGAGCGGCUCUUCCCCACGGCGCCGUCGAAUCCCGUCUUCCUCUGCUCGCGCGGGCCGUGCCCCUGCUUCCCCUCCCUAGCCGAGCUCGCCGAUUCCCUUUCCCCAAGCUCCAUGGCUGGCCGCGCCCAGCGUCCUCCUCUCAGCUUCCCACGCGCACCGGCUUGCUCCCUGCUCGGUUCCGUGACCGCGCCGUGUGCCCAUCUCCUAUGCACGCAUGCUCCCUCCCUGUUCCUCCAAACCAGUCGAGCUCCUCCUUGUGUCCGUACCGAGCUCCUUCCCUACGCCGGUCGGAUCUCUCUGGUGCUCCCCCAGUCUGGCGCGGCAAACGGGGAAAGAAACAGCCGAGUUCCUCUGCGCGCUACCACGUCUUCUCGCUCGGCCUGCUCCGGAUCCGAAGCUGGUCACCCUGUGUGCUCGACUUUGCCUUGUCGCAAAACCCCGACGCCGUUGAGCCUCACUGCCCAUCACGAAGUUCCCUACUAUCAGCCUCCGCACCCGUUCCGUUAGACCGUCGUAGUCAGUUUGCCUCCAUCCCGUGGUGGUGUUGCGCUACCGUCGAGUCCCGAUAUCGAUCCGGUGGUCGUCGAAGUGAAGCUCUGAACGGAUUUGACCAUAUCCAGCACUACCCAUGUCGUUGUCGUUCGCCUUCGUGCUGUGAGCGAUAGCAUCGUCAUUUCCUUCAUGUGCUCACCCUCGAUCUCCGCCUUGCCAUCACCCUUGAUCACAGCACUGUGUCGACGACUUGCGAUCCUCACUCUCGCGCUCACGCUUUGUCGAAUGUCACUCUAGUACUCGUCAGAAGAAGAGCUUCAACAGUUGAUUACUGAAGAAAAGAAGAACCCUGGGUGACAUCUACCUAGUACUCGACGGAAAUUCUGAAGUACAAUUUAUCACCGUGUCCAUGGAAGUGGAGCGACUUAAUAUUGGUAAGCGAACUCGUUACUUCGGAUAGUUGGAAUGGUAAUUUGAUUGGCUAGAUUUAUUAAUCGUAAUAAUCCUCGUGUUGGCACAGGCGCGUUGUGGUAGUGUUAAAUAUGUGUGAAAUACGAUGGAGUUAGUAAUGCGAAAGGUAGAUUAAAUUAUACGAUAUUCAGGUGAGCUGAUGAUGUAAAAUAUAGGAUUAGUAUUCCUAUCAGCUAGUUGAUAGAUUUUCUAGUGUUAUUAUGUCAAUUUGGUUAAUUGAUAUAGUCGAUACCCUACUUAAUUAGUUAGUUUAUUCUAGGUUUGGUAUUUAGUUCGAUGUCAUGAGGGAUGUGCAAAUUACCUCGUGUAAUUAACAAUGAAUGACAUCGACCUAUCUAAUUAGCGUGGAAUUCAAGAUAAUUGAGAAACACAAUUUAGAAAGUUAGUUAAUAUGCCCCUUUACUCUAAGUUGUCGGUAUUCGAAAAUAGUGAAUAAAAAUUUGACGAGUAAUUUGAUAUUGGGUGUUUUGACAAAAGACUUGUGCUUAGCUUAUUAUUACUUGAUGUUUGAAGUAGAUGCGAUUACGCUAGAAAAGUGUAAUAAUUCGGCGUAGUCGUAUAUCGGUAACUAGUGUUUCCGUAUAAAAUUGUACAAUGCCUCGCCGCUAGGUGUUUAAUUCGCUAUCGCGUAGCACUAUUUAGGUUUGUAAUAUUCUUGUCUAUAUGCAUUCAUGUGCAUAAUGCAUUUCAUUCAGAUACGUUAAUUAAUCGCGUGAUGCGGAAGACGAGCCAAGUCGACCCCAAGCGCGGGCUAAUCCGCAUGGUGAUGCUGAUGGACGAAAUUGCCUGAACAAAUGUCAAGACAAAAUGAUGGUCGUCAAGUGGUCGCCACCUAACAAACACUAACGUAGUGUUUAUUCUAGGCAAGCCCCGGUGCAUGCAACCCCUUCCUUGUGUUUUUAAAUAAUUUUUUACACACUUUAAGUCUAGCGAAAUGUGCAUUGGGUUUAUAGGAGUUGCUUGGAAACCCUUUGAUGCAUUGGCUACCUUGAAAUCCAUUCCUUCUAUAGAUACUUCUGGUGAUGUAUCAAAUAUGAUUUACAAAAUUGCUUAGCCUUGCCUAGAGGUAAAUCUUGCGGAUAGAGGUUGUCCUUUGCGUUAAUGCCUAGCUCAGGGGUUAUCCUGAGGAAGGAUGGCUUCUGCCUGCAAGAAUAUUUUCAUUGGGAGCAGUGGUAGGAUCUUACUGCAAAGUUCCCUAUAAUGCUCUUUUCAUCCUAAGGAAUACAAACAAUCCUAAGGAUGGAAGUACUUAAAUCAGGACUUGGGCUAGGAACAGGUGAUGUUCUACCCAGGUUGAUUAAGGAUUAUACUGAAUGUAGGCUUGAUGAUCGAGGACCUUUUAACUGGUCACAUGCCUCAUCAUGGGUAAGCUUUGCCUCGGGCAGACUAAUACCAGAAUAAGAUAACACACAAUGGGAGUGGAGAGAUGGCGAGAGUAGCGUGUACCCUCCGUGGCAAGAGGCUGGACGGUGGUGUAUCUGUGCUCUCAGAUUGCGUGAACCUGAUCUAGUCUUAAGAACCCCGGUGGCGAGUUGACAUAUGCAAGGGUUAAGUGCUACAUAUGUUGUGUGAUUGGAGAUCCCCAGCUGAGUAUUAAUCUAUUCGGAUCACCGUUACUUCUCAGACAUGAAGACUUGGUCACUGCCCUGCAAUCUAAGUCAUGGAUGGAAUCUUAAUGAGCAAAAAUCAUGUUGGAUUGAAUAAUGUGAUGGUGAAAUUACACUAGAUGCAAACAAGGUCUAUUAAUACUUAAUCUAGCAUUAAAAUGUUGAAAGUAAGGACUCACUUUAGUAAGCUAUUUCUGCAAAAGUAUCUAAGUUGAUUCAUGCUAAAGCCUUUUCCUUGAUUCCUAUUUAACCCGCAUAUCCUUGAGAGUCUUUU